This 821-nucleotide ribosomal RNA is filed under the name uncultured bacterium. Its description in RNAcentral is "bacterial SSU rRNA". It matches the Rfam family "Bacterial small subunit ribosomal RNA", at positions 672 to 1504 of the family's 1533-position model. The record is from RNAcentral.
AGUGUAGAGGUGAAAUUCGUAGAUAUUAGAAAGAAUACCAAUUGCGAAGGCAGCUUUCUGGAUCAUUACUGACACUGAGGAACGAAAGCAUGGGUAGCGAAGAGGAUUAGAUACCCUCGUAGUCCAUGCCGUAAACGAUGUGUGUUAGACGUUGGAAAUUUAUUUUCAGUGUCGCAGGGAAACCGAUAAACACACCGCCUGGGGAGUACGACCGCAAGGUUAAAACUCAAAUGAAUUGACGGGGACCCGCACAAGUAGUGGAGCAUGUGGUUUAAUUCGAAGAUACGCGCAGAACCUUACCAACACUUGACAUGUUCGUCGCGACUCUAAGAGAUUAGAGUUUUCGGUUCGGCCGGACGAAACACAGGUGCUGCAUGGCUGUCGUCAGCUCGUGUCGUGAGAUGUUGGGUUAAGUCCCGCAACGAGCGCAACCCUCACUUUUAGUUGCCAUCAUUAAGUUGGGCACUCUGAAAGAACUGCCAGUGAUAAGCUGGAGGAAGGUGGGGAUGACGUCAAGUCCUCAUGGCCCUUACGUGUUGGGCUACACACGUGCUACAAUGGCAUCUACAACAGGAAGCAAAACGGCAACGUUAAGCAAAUCCCGAAAAGAUGCCUCAGUUCGGAUUGCACUCUGCAACUCGAGUGCACGAAGCUGGAAUUACUAGUAAUCGUGGAUCAGCGUGCCACGGUGAAUGCGUUCCCGGGUCUUGUACACACCGCCCGUCACACCAUGGGAGUUGGUUCUACCUUAAGGCAAGGUUUCAAACCCUUGACCACGGUAUAGUCAGCGACUGGGGUGAAGUCGUAACAAGGUAACCGUA